This 428-nucleotide unclassified non-coding RNA is filed under the name Bombus terrestris (buff-tailed bumblebee). RNAcentral's name for it is "misc RNA ENSBTSG00005022273.1". Lineage: Eukaryota; Metazoa; Arthropoda; Insecta; Hymenoptera; Apidae. The record is from RNAcentral.
UGCCGCGUGGGAGACGGUACGGUAUGCCGUCGUUGUUAUGCACAGGGCCGUUCGUUGUGCUCGUUUCAGCUUUUUCCUGUUCUUAUCGGUAUUCGCUGCUCUAGCCCACACCGGUGCUCCGUAAGUUACGAUGGACUUCCACACAUUGUAGUAGAGCCUACGAGCCAAGCUGGGCGGCCCGUUGAUGUUGGGUAGAAUUCCCCUAAGGGCUCCUAUUAACUUGUCGGCUCUGUUACACACCAUCUCGAUAUGCGCACCGAACCUCCGACUGGAGUCGAUGACAACUCCGAGAUGGUGUGUAAUAGAGCCGACAAGUUAAUAGGAGCCCUCAGGGGAAUACUACCUAACAUCAACGGGCCGCCCAGCUUGGCUCGUAGGCUCUACUACAAUGUGUGGGAGUCCAUCGUGACUUACGGAGCACCGGUGUG